UCCUACGGGAGGCAGCAGUGGGGAAUUUUGGACAAUGGGCGAAAGCCUGAUCCAGCAAUGCCGCGUGUGUGAAGAAGGCCUUCGGGUUGUGAAGCACUUUUGUCCGGAAAGAAAUCCUUGGCUCUAAUACAGUCGGGGGAUGACGGUACCGGAAGAAUAAGCACCGGCUAACUACGUGCCAGCAGCCGCGGUAAUACGUAGGGUGCGAGCGUUAAUCGGAAUUACUGGGCGUAAAGCGUGCGCAGGCGGUUUGCUAAGACCGAUGUGAAAUCCCCGGGCUCAACCUGGGAACUGCAUUGGUGACUGGCAGGCUAGAGUAUGGCAGAGGGGGGUAGAAUUCCACGUGUAGCAGUGAAAUGCGUAGAGAUGUGGAGGAAUACCGAUGGCGAAGGCAGCCCCCUGGGCCAAUACUGACGCUCAUGCACGAAAGCGUGGGGAGCAAACAGGAUUAGAUACCCUGGUAGUCCACGCCCUAAACGAUGUCAACUAGUUGUUGGGGAUUCAUUUCCUUAGUAACGUAGCUAACGCGUGAAGUUGACCGCCUGGGGAGUACGGUCGCAAGAUUAAAACUCAAAGGAAUUGACGGGGACCCGCACAAGCGGUGGAUGAUGUGGAUUAAUUCGAUGCAACGCGAAAAACCUUACCUACCCUUGACAUGGUCGGAAUCCCGCUGAGAGGUGGGAGUGCUCGAAAGAGAACCGGCGCACAGGUGCUGCACGGCUGUCGUCAGCUCGUGUCGUGAGGUGUUGGGUUGAGUCCCGCAACGAGCGCAACCCUUGUCCUUAGUUGCUACGCAAGAGCACUCUAAGGAGACUGCCGGUGACAAACCGGAGGAAGGUGGGGAUGACGUCAAGUCCUCAUGGCCCUUAUGGGUAGGGCUUCACACGUCAUACAAUGGUCGGAACAGAGGGUUGCCAACCCGCGAGGGGGAGCUAAUCCCAGAAAACCGAUCGUAGUCCGGAUUGCACUCUGCAACUCGAGUGCAUGAAGCUGGAAUCGCUAGUAAUCGCGGAUCAGCAUGCCGCGGUGAAUACGUUCCCGGGCCUUGUACACACCGC
Molecule: ribosomal RNA, 1058 nt
Filed under: uncultured Burkholderia sp.
Lineage: Bacteria; Pseudomonadati; Pseudomonadota; Betaproteobacteria; Burkholderiales; Burkholderiaceae
Description: bacterial SSU rRNA
Rfam family: Bacterial small subunit ribosomal RNA
Source: RNAcentral